This 253-nucleotide ribosomal RNA is filed under the name uncultured bacterium. Its description in RNAcentral is "partial 16S ribosomal RNA". It matches the Rfam family "Bacterial small subunit ribosomal RNA", at positions 524 to 776 of the family's 1533-position model. The record is from RNAcentral.
UACGGAGGGUGCAAGCGUUAUCCGGAUUCACUGGGUUUAAAGGGAGCGUAGGCGGGUUGGUAAGUCAGUGGUGAAAUCUUCAAGCUUAACUUGGAAACUGCCGUUGAUACUAUCAAUCUUGAAUAUUGUGGAGGUAAGCGGAAUAUGUCAUGUAGCGGUGAAAUGCUUAGAUAUGACAUAGAACACCGAUAGCGAAGGCAGCUUGCUACACAAUUAUUGACGCUGAGGCUCGAAAGCGUGGGGAGCAAACGGG